This 449-nucleotide ribosomal RNA is filed under the name uncultured bacterium. RNAcentral describes it as "partial 16S ribosomal RNA". It matches the Rfam family "Bacterial small subunit ribosomal RNA", at positions 29 to 523 of the family's 1533-position model. The record is from RNAcentral.
AACGAACGCUGGCGGCAUGCCUAAUACAUGCAAGUCGAACGAUCACUUCGGUGAUAGUGGCGCACGGGUGCGUAACGCGUGGGAAUCUGCCCUUGGGUUCGGAAUAACAGCUGGAAACGGCUGCUAAUACCGGAUGAUGACGUAAGUCCAAAGAUUUAUCGCCCAGGGAUGAGCCCGCGUAGGAUUAGGUAGUUGGUGGGGUAAAGGCCUACCAAGCCUACGAUCCUUAGCUGGUCUGAGAGGAUGAUCAGCCACACUGGGAGUGAGACACGGCCCAGACUCCUACGGGAGGCAGCAGUAGGGAAUAUUGGACAAUGGGGGCGACCCUGAUCCAGCAAUGCCGCGUGAGUGAUGAAGGCCUUAGGGUUGUAAAGCUCUUUUACCCGGGAUGAUAAUGACAGUACCGGGAGAAUAAGCCCCGGCUAACUCCGUGCCAGCAGCCGCAGUAA